AUUGGGGUUUUGAAUACAGUCUCAAAAUCAAUCGCUCAUUCAUAUUCCACCUAACUCUGCUCCCACGCCUUUGUCCCUUUACAAACCCUAAUCUAAUUUCCCUCCCUCUAAUAUCAGAAGUCACACGAUUAGGGGUUCAAUCAAUUGCUUGUGAUCGGUGGAGGAUGAUUCAGUUGUGUUCAUAGAGAAGUUAUUAACGCCGUCGGCGUCAUCGAUGAAGCUCACCAUGGCAAUCGGUACAAAAAGGCUUUCCUAGAUCAUGCAAGCAGUGGGUCUGAUUCUGAAGCCAAUGCUCAGCUCACAUAAGAAGCCAGCAAAAAAUGGAUGCUGGGACAUAGCAUAUAUAAGGGAAAAAUCUGACAGUCUACUUUUUAAUUAUACGGUCUAUUUGGCAAUAUAAACUGGUACUUAUAGAAAGUUGAUGAACUGUGUGAAAGUUAUUGGGAUGAGCGUUGUACCGAUACCGAAAAAUGAGUACCGGUUCUGGAACAAAAAAUAACCGUCAUGGUUACAGUUCGGUACCAAUAUUUACCGUUAAAGUAACCAGAAUACUGGUACCGUUCAGAGUCGUCAUGGUUACAGGUGGAAUGGCUACUACUAUUGCUUAAGUUAAUUAUGUACCCUUGACCUUAGUUCCACUUUUGUUUCAAUUGGCAAAUUAUUAUAGAAUCUUGCUUCCUCUCAUGGGAGCUGUUGGUUUAGCAGUAUGGAUGUCAUCUGUCGCAAACCAAUGUAUGGAGGGUGAAGGACCAAAUGGUGAAGAGGAUAUGAAACUUUGCAUAAAAGGAGUCAGUGAUAACCAUCAACCAUGACACAAUUGAUGAGGAUAUUAUUUAUGAGCACAUUGAAGUUUCGAGUUUUUAUUUAAAUAUUUGUUAGGUUUUUGUUUUAUAUGUUAGAUAUUUAGACUUAAUGUUACACUUGUUAGAUAUUUGGAAGAUAAUCGAAGUUAUGAUAUUAUGCUUUCUA
Molecule: long non-coding RNA, 969 nt
Organism: Helianthus annuus (common sunflower)
Lineage: Eukaryota; Viridiplantae; Streptophyta; Magnoliopsida; Asterales; Asteraceae
Exons: 7
Source: RefSeq, a predicted model, not a curated record